RNAcentral lists this ribosomal RNA (550 nucleotides) under Pseudaminobacter sp. HPC321. Its description in RNAcentral is "bacterial SSU rRNA". It matches the Rfam family "Bacterial small subunit ribosomal RNA", at positions 111 to 697 of the family's 1533-position model. The record is from RNAcentral. Lineage: Bacteria; Pseudomonadati; Pseudomonadota; Alphaproteobacteria; Hyphomicrobiales; Phyllobacteriaceae.
UAACGCGUGGGAAUCUACCCGCUCUACGGAAUAACCCAGGGAAACUUGGACUAAUACCGUAUACGUCCUUCGGGAGAAAGAUUUAUCGGAGUUGGAUGAGCCCGCGUUGGAUUAGCUAGUUGGUGGGGUAAAGGCCUACCAAGGCGACGAUCCAUAGCUGGUCUGAGAGGAUGAUCAGCCACACUGGGACUGAGACACGGCCCAGACUCCUACGGGAGGCAGCAGUGGGGAAUAUUGGACAAUGGGCGCAAGCCUGAUCCAGCCAUGCCGCGUGAGUGAUGAAGGCCCUAGGGUUGUAAAGCUCUUUCAACGGUGAAGAUAAUGACGGUAACCGUAGAAGAAGCCCCGGCUAACUUCGUGCCAGCAGCCGCGGUAAUACGAAGGGGGCUAGCGUUGUUCGGAAUUACUGGGCGUAAAGCGCACGUAGGCGGAUCGAUCAGUUAGGGGUGAAAUCCCAGGGCUCAACCCUGGAACUGCCUCUAAUACUGUCGAUCUGGAGUUCGAGAGAGGUGAGUGGAAUUCCGAGUGUAGAGGUGAAAUUCGUAGAUAU